GACGGAGGAUGCAAGUGUUAUCCGGAAUCACUGGGCGUAAAGCGUCUGUAGGUCGUUUAAAAAGUCUACUGUUAAAAAUUGAAGCUUAACUUCAAAGAUGCCGUAGAAACUUUUAAACUUGAGUAUGGUAGGGGUAGAGGGAAUUUCCAGUGGAGCGGUGAAAUGCGUAGAUAUCAAGAGGAACACCUGCGGCGAAGGCGGGUUGCUGGGCCGACACUGACGCUGAGGCGCGAAAGCCAGGGGAGCGAACGGG
This 253-nucleotide ribosomal RNA is filed under the name uncultured bacterium. Its description in RNAcentral is "partial 16S ribosomal RNA". It matches the Rfam family "Bacterial small subunit ribosomal RNA", at positions 524 to 776 of the family's 1533-position model. The record is from RNAcentral.